Caretta caretta (loggerhead turtle) is the source of this 2651-nucleotide long non-coding RNA. RefSeq lists it as uncharacterized. Lineage: Eukaryota; Metazoa; Chordata; Testudines; Cheloniidae. The record is from RefSeq and is a predicted model, not a curated record.
UGUAAUAGAACUAUCAGCUAGCAGUCUUCAUCUGAGUUGAUAGAAUUCUUGUUAACUUCAUCAGUAGCUGAAGCCUGAGUUCAUUUAAAAAAAUUCCACCCCAACUAAAAACUGUUUGCCACAUUAAUUCCUUGUGCAUCUGCAUUGGCUGGGAGUUACAGCUGAAUGAAUGAAGUUGACCUGUGUACAUCCCUGCACUUAGUAAUGUAUCCUUUUUGGACUUUUCCCCAGCUGUGUACAAGAUUCCACUGGACAGUUUGGAAAUAUCAGGAGAACCUGCAACAGAAGAAGCUAUUCUUAGACUAAAGCCUCCAUGAACAUGAAGACCUGGAGAGGCAAAUUUACAGCUUGAGUGGUGGGAUAUGGAGUAAAUGAAACGUGUAAGCAGAAAUACUGCAUGAACCUUUUCCAAAAGGCAUAUUGAAAAGACUGUGGAGAAGAGUAUUGUCAAAGGACAAAAAGUUCUAACACUGCAACAAAUGCUUUGUUUUUCAUCUGCUUAUCCCUCAGGCAGCUACAGAAAUGUGUGUGCAGGCUGUUGCUUUUUUUUCCUUUUUAGUUAAAUUCAGGUUUGGUUGGCAGUUUCUUCCUCAAAAGAGUAGCUCUCCUCAGUAAGAACAACAGGAUGCCCUCAACAUGGCAAAAGCUAUAAAAGGCACUGGAAACACCUCCAUUUUGUCUUCAAUCCUGCUUCUUACCUCUGGAGGAACUUUCCUACAAACUGAAGCUCUGAACAAAGGACUGAAUGACCCAUCCAAGUUGUGGAUGUACUCCAGAGAAUUGACUUAAGUCAGCAGUUUAUUCCAUCACUGCUACAAGCCUGAACCAAGAACUUUGCCAUUACUCUGCUGCCAUUACAGCUCUGAGGGGUUCUCUCUCCACAACUGCGGAACACCAGAGUCAGAAAAGGAGGAGAAAGAAGCAGACUUGGGUUAACAUGUUCAGAGAGAUCCUGUGAGCCAGUGCUGCAUCAGACCACAAACAGAGAGCCUGGAGGAUGAAUACUGUAGACUAUAUGUAGAAGGAAAGUGCAGACAGAAGAAAGGCCUAGGACUCCCAGCUGCAAAAGGUAAGGAAGAUGCACCAAGACAUAAUGGAGCUUCUCCAUAAGCAAACACAGGUGUUGCAGGCUCUUGUGGAUCUACAGAUUCAACAAUCCCAUACUUGCCUCCCUUUGCAGUCCAUAGAGAAGUCCAUUUUAGCAUCUUCCUACACUCCCUGAACAUUCCAUGUGGCACCAGGGGCCACAUCACUACGCCUACCACUUCACCUAGGGGGACAUUAAGGACAAACACAACUUCAUGUACAGUGACUUGUGACAGCCACAGCUGAUAUAUGUGCAGCUAAAAUGGACAUGAAUUCCCCUUCUUUAAACUCUGUUCCAUAAUUUAUUAAGGUUUUAAUGUAUUUGCUUUUAACUUACACAGAAUUUGUUGAAGUGUUACUCAAUACAACUCUAUUGUUUGGAAAAUAAUUAAUUUUUAUUAGUUCCUCUCACAGGGUGGAUUAGGCCCAGAGGCUCCCUGAUGGAGGCCUCAGUGUCCUGCCACACCUCUUCCCAGAGAGGAGCAGAAGAGAAGUCCUCCAAGCAGCCUAGAGUGGCUGCAGGAGAAACAGUCAAUCAGAGGGGCUGCUGGAUCAGUCAGUCAGGAGCCAGGAAGGCCAUAUAAAAAGGAGCAGCAGAGACAGAGUCAGUCAGUUGCUGCCUGGAGCUGAAAGAGAGAGGAUCAUGUUCCUGGAUUGCUAAAAGAACAGCAGGACCAUGGACAGCUCAGUGCGGGUAGGGACCAGGGGAGUAAUGAAAGAGCUGCUGGCCGGCUGCUGUGACUGGGUAAAGACUGAGUCCAGGGAGGGCUGCAGGAAGACAGUGUCUCCAGGGAGGAAGCCCUAGAGGUACAUUCCCAUACCAGGGCUGGGAGAAGAUAAAGACUGUAUGCCUUGGAAGGGGUUUGUUCUUUUCCACCUACAGAUGGUGUGUUUGUCUCAGCUGGAGGGCCGAGUCACUGAAGACCCACUGAAGAAACCAUAGACCAAUGUGGGGUGCUAUUGAGAGGCCUCUGGCCAGAGGCACUUGGUGAACUGCCAUGUGAAGUGCCCACCCAUAAAGAAGUGGAUGGUCCCCCUUCACUGAUAUGUUUGCUUCCUGUGGCUGGAAUAUACGUGAACUGUUGCCACAGGAGUGGCAGAAAAGUCAUGUGCUUUGCAUCUUCAGCAUUCUUCCUCCACCAACUUCUCCACGCCUUUUCCUGAGUUGCGUUCUUGUGAACUUAAUAAAAAGUGCUGCACCUUCUUUACUGGCAAACAUGACUCCUGAGUCCUUCAUAAACCUUACAGGCACGACGGCCAGUUCACAGUCCCCUGAGCCUUCGGCGGUACCCUUUUAAACUAACUUAUGUGUGUGGACAAUUUGUGGAUGUCUGAUGGCAGGGCAACAUGGAUGAUGACUAAAAUGUCAAGAUAAAGUAAAACACAGUGCCAGUCAAUGGGGACAAUAUUGUGAAUAUUAGGGCAGAUACAUGAAUAUGUGACAUCUUGACCAUGUAACAUAAAUAUCAAUGCAGAUAAUACCAGGAGAGGAGGAGAUCGAAUGCCCUUACCUCUAGGAAAAAUCCAAAGGAGGGAAGUCUUCAUAAUUCUAUUGUGUAGGCAGG